UUGAUUUGGGUUAGAGGAAGUGAUUCCAUGUAUUUGCAUAUAAACUUCUUCAACCAAAAUGUCAUGGAAGAAGACAUCAUGAUCAUGUAGUUGAUAAAAAUACCAAUUUUGUGAGGAGACAAUAGCAAGAAGAAGCCCUAUAUAUUCCUUUCAUGUUAUGCAGACAACUAGUGGUGCACCUUCUAAUAAUUGUCUCCAUUAAGAGGAGAAACAAGAAUAUCUAUUGAGUUUUCAUCAAGACAAAGUUAUAAUAAGAAUUAUUUGAAUUAUAGGAUGAAUCAAUAGAUAGAUAGUGUAGUAGUAGUGAAGGUGGUGAAUUAUUAACAUUUGGUUCAAAGAAUAUUAAGUCUGCCAUAAUUCAAGCACCAAUCUUAUAUUUUCAUGAUUUCAGCAGGAAAAGGAUAGCCAAGUGGUGAGUGUGGUUGCUGUCACAUCUCAUCAUAAUAGUGUUUCAACCUCUCAUCAUUGUUGUACUGAAUUUAGUUCUGGCUUCUUUCCUAGUUCUAACACAAACAAGUUUCACUUCACAAACUGUCCUGCUAGUCACCACCCACUUUCAACAAUGGAAAUACUCAGCAGCUCUCAGAAAACAACUUCCUGAACAACAUCACAUCCAAGUUAAUAGAGACUGGAAAAAUCAAUGCUAAACUAAGACAUGUGCUCUGUUGAAGAUUCAAUUUAGACAAUUGAAACUAGGAUUAAAUUCAUGAGAGCAAAAAUGUAGUUAAAUGUAUAAAAAGUGACAGUCAAUAAGAUGUUGCAGAAGGAUUUAAAAUACUAUAUAUUUGGACAUUAUUUGUAGUCACAGAAAUUGAACACAAUACUAAAAUUUACAAAUUUCCAACACAAAACUCAACUAUGUGAACUGAGGUCAGGAAUUUGAACACUGUAAACAUUGAUUCAAGACUAAUUGUAUAUAUCAUAAUAAAAACAAAGUGGUAUUUAAAGUGGAAGGUUGUGCAAGCCUGUCUUGGAGCCCAUAUGCACAUGGAUCAUGUGUGAUACCCCUAAGGUACUCUGCAGAGCUGAAUCAAUGCAAAUUCCAGCUAAGAAGACACCUAGUGGAGCAGUUCUGGAAAGAUUCAUGAAAAGUAUGCAUCUUGGUUCAGAAAAAGAGCAUUCAUAUAUGGAUGUUAUGACUAUCAGAAGUUCUAUGUUUUCUCAAAAGGUAAGAUGCUGUCUUAAUUGUUUCAAAAC
This 1197-nucleotide long non-coding RNA is filed under the name Phaseolus vulgaris (common bean). RNAcentral's name for it is "long non-coding RNA (PVUL_LNC001811)". The record is from RNAcentral. Lineage: Eukaryota; Viridiplantae; Streptophyta; Magnoliopsida; Fabales; Fabaceae.